UCCUUACUCUGCACCAACAGCCUGCCUUGCGGGGGCUUUGGGCUGAUCACCUCUUGGUGGUUCUUCAUUCAUUCACUUGUUUACUGGUCACCAGUAUGUGCCAGGCCUUCUCGACACUGGGGAAACACUAGGAACUAGACACGGUACUUGCUCAUGGAUCUUACUUUCAGGAAAGGGAAGCAGAAAAUAAACAGGGAAAAACAGAGUUUGUAGAUGCUGAGAAGAAAGUGAAACAAGAUGCUGAGGUAAGAGAGUAACUGGAUGAGGGGACUUUUUUCCGUUAGAUGAUCAGGGAAGGUCUCCCAGGAGGUAACAUUGAAGCUGAGACCUCUGAGGAAUGAGAAGGAGCGGUCUAUUGGAAAUUUGAAGAGAUUUCUGGGCAUUGGGAACAGCAAGUGCAAAAGUCUUAAGGUGGAAAUAAGCUGAAUGUGUUCCAGGAGCAGCAAGAAGGUCAUUGUAGCUGGAGCAGAUUGGAAGAUGAUGACCAGCUUCUGGUGAAUGCAAGGCCUCAAGAUGGAACAUUACUGGGUGGAGGAGAACUCUGCCCCAUCGACCUAAUCUUACACCCAGGACUGUUACAUGAGAAAAAAAAAUAAACCUGUAUUUUAUUGA
Non-coding RNA from Ceratotherium simum simum (southern white rhinoceros), 612 nucleotides. Lineage: Eukaryota; Metazoa; Chordata; Mammalia; Perissodactyla; Rhinocerotidae. The record is from RefSeq and is a predicted model, not a curated record.